AUGCACGCUGGCGGCGUGCCUAAUACCUGCCAGUCGAGCGAACAGACGAGGAGCUUGCUCCUCUGACGUUAGCGGCGGCCGGGUGAGUAACACGUGGAUAACCUACCUAUAAGGCUGGGAUAACUUCGGGAAACCGGAGCUAAUACCGGAUAAUAUAUUGAACCGCAUGGUUCAAUAGUGAAAGACGGUUUUGCUGUCACUUAUAGAUGGAUCCGCGCCGCAUUAGCUAGUUGGUAAGGUAACGGCUUACCAAGGCAACGAUGCGUAGCCGACCUGAGAGGGUGAUCGGCCACACUGGAACUGAGACACGGUCCAGACUCCUACGGGAGGCAGCAGUAGGGAAUCUUCCGCAAUGGGCGAAAGCCUGACGGAGCAACGCCGCGUGAGUGAUGAAGGUCUUCGGAUCGUAAAACUCUGUUAUUAGGGAAGAACAAAUGUGUAAGUAACUAUGCACGUCUUGACGGUACCUAAUCAGAAAGCCACGGCUAACUACGUG
RNAcentral lists this ribosomal RNA (496 nucleotides) under uncultured bacterium. RNAcentral describes it as "partial 16S ribosomal RNA". It matches the Rfam family "Bacterial small subunit ribosomal RNA", at positions 29 to 507 of the family's 1533-position model. The record is from RNAcentral.